Molecule: long non-coding RNA, 1026 nt
Filed under: Sarcophilus harrisii (Tasmanian devil)
Lineage: Eukaryota; Metazoa; Chordata; Mammalia; Dasyuromorphia; Dasyuridae
Description: lncRNA (ENSSHAG00000020584.1)
Source: RNAcentral
AUAACAUAAAAGUGUCAGAAGCAAUCACAGCAGUGUAAAGUGUUAUUAUAGAACAGUGACUGUACAAAUACAUUAAGUCUCACAUCCAAUGCAGUAAUGUAUUAAAGCAUAUGAUCAUGUAGUCAGAUAUUGAAGCCAACAAAAGCUGCAGCGUUUGGGUGGAAACCAGCAGCCCCCUUUGAGAACUUCAUUUGGUGAACUGUUAACGGUCUCAAGUGUGCAACUUGAAUAACUGACAAGCCUCUUCUGUCUCCGACCCACACUAACCCCCACCCCUGGGACCCCCUGAGUUCUGCAUACCUUGCUGGCUUUAAAAGACAGUUAUUAACAGCAAAUUGGUUCACUUGAAAAAGAAAACAAAACUCAAAAAAGUCCUUUUUUAAUUGAGAAAAAAUAUUCCAAAAAAAAAUGUCACCCAGAAUACAAAAAAAGACAGUGUAGUGGUCAGACUCCCAGUGGCAAUGCAUCUUCUUUCCUUUUCAGUAUUUAGUAUAAAGCCAAUUCACUGUCUAAGAAAAACAAGCCCCCUGAAACGGAACACACCCUUUUCCAAGUUGCUAAACUCCAAGCUGGUUACCCUUACUAAAUCCACUCAAGUAUUCUCAAAAUAUUUGGGCUUCUCAAUGUACCCAGCCUGCUGGGCACUUGUAAAUAAAAGGCAUUUGAUACUCUACCUAAGAACUCCCUGCUAUCAUUUUUAAUGCUUUCACAUGUUAAAAACUGCUUUACCGUAACUUUUGGAUGUAUUUGGACUCAAUGAAAGCAUGAGCACGACCGAAGAGAAACUGAGUAAAUCAAUCUAAGUAUACUAUUGAAGCAGCAUGCAUAUGACUAGGAGUGGUUGCUGUGUGGGGUGUCAAGAGGAAACAUGGGGGAAAAGAACAUGGGGAAUGAGUGAAGUCCCUGUACACCCUAUUUAAACAAACACUGCAAUCCAGCAUGGCUUCGGGGUGCACUCACCAUGAAGCUAACAGUAAUCCAACCAACUAGGCUACUCUCAGGGAACAGCAUCUGCUAUGUUAAUGG